GAUGAAGAACGUAGCGAAAUGCGAUAAGUAAUGUGAAUUGCAGAAUUCAGUGAAUCAUCGAAUCUUUGAACGCACCUUGCGCCCCUUGGCAUUCCGAAGGGCAUGCCUGUUCGAGCGUCAUGAUCAAAUCUCAAGCCUUGCUUGGUAUUGGGUUUUCGUCUCUCUCGUCUUUGCUACGGGUAUUGACGUGCCUGAAAAUCAAUGGCAGUGCCUUAUUAGACUCAAGCGUAGCAAACUGACACGCUUUAGAGAACUUUUGUAGGUCCUGUCAAUAAAAUAAUAAGUUGGACCUCGGAUCAGGUAGGGAUACCCGCUGAACUUAAGCAUAUCAAUAAGCGGAGGA
Molecule: unclassified non-coding RNA, 343 nt
Filed under: soil metagenome
Description: partial contains 5.8S ribosomal RNA, internal transcribed spacer 2, and large subunit ribosomal RNA
Rfam family: 5.8S ribosomal RNA (bases 1-120)
Source: RNAcentral